UAUUAAAUAGUUUAUUUAUAAAACAUUAAUUUUGUAAAUUAGAAAUAGAUAUAUACAUAUUUUUUAAUAA
This 70-nucleotide transfer RNA is filed under the name Monomachus antipodalis. RNAcentral's name for it is "tRNA-Thr". Lineage: Eukaryota; Metazoa; Arthropoda; Insecta; Hymenoptera; Monomachidae. The record is from RNAcentral.